AUUCUGACCGUGCAAAGGUAGCGUAAUCACUUGUCUAUUAAUUGUAGACCUGUAUGAAAGGCAAAACGAGGGCCUAUCUGUCUCUUGUAGUAAAUCAAUUAAACUGAUCUCCCAGUCCAAAAGCUGGGAUGCCAACAUAAGACCAGAAGACCCUGUGAAGCUUAAACUAAACUAUUAAAUCCUAUAAUAGCUCCUUUCGGUUGGGGCGACCCUGGAAAAAAAAAGAACUUCCAAACAUACUGACCUUACAGUCACCUACCCUAGGCCAACAAGCCUAACAACGACCCAGCACAGCUGAUAAUUGAACCAAGUUACUCCAGGGAUAACAGCGCUAUCUUCUUCAAGAGCCCAUAUCAAAAAGAAGGUUUACGACCUCGAUGUUGGAUCAGGACAUCCUAAUGGUGCAGCCGCUAUUAAGGGUUCGUUUGUUCAACGAUUAACAGUCCUACGUGAUCUGAGUUCAGACCGGAGAAUC
RNAcentral lists this ribosomal RNA (475 nucleotides) under Naja atra (Chinese cobra). RNAcentral's name for it is "partial 16S ribosomal RNA". It matches the Rfam family "Bacterial large subunit ribosomal RNA", at positions 1939 to 2627 of the family's 2925-position model. Lineage: Eukaryota; Metazoa; Chordata; Lepidosauria; Squamata; Elapidae. The record is from RNAcentral.